AGAAAAAAUCAAAUAGGCACCCCCUCUUUAGCACCGGUUCUUGAAAACUGGUGCCAAAAGAAAAGGGUGGGAUUGGAAAAUAGGGAUUAGGCACCAGUUCUAACCAAAACCGGUGCCUACUCAUUUAAUUAGCACCGGUUCAAACCGGUGCCAACCUUAAAAAAAACAGAAAAAAAAAAAACAAAGAAAGCAAUAGAGUUGGCAUCGGUUCGCCUUAAACCGGUGCGAACUUUAGUAAUUAGCAUCGGUUUGAACCGGUACCAUUAAAAAAAAAAGCCCGGUUUAUAAUGCGCGUCUUCUUCUUCAUCAUGUCCUUGCUCUUUCCUCUUCUCAUUUAAUCUGCCUCUCUCUCUCCUCCAUUGUAGCAUACUUGAAUUUCUCCAUUGAAGGGACUUCAGAGCUUUCUCUCAGCACUUUCCUAACACUCCAUCUCUCUCCUUCGAUCUCCUUAUCCAUAACCGCCACUUUCCCUUUCCUUUCUUCUCUCUUUCGAUCUCCUUCUAUCUUUCUACAAUAUUGGAGGUUAGGGUUUCUGCGGCAAGGUGUUGAGAUAUGGAUAAUAAUGAUAAAUGGCGUCGUUUCAUUCUAUGGUGUUCAAGGAAUCAGAAAGCCUUGAAGGGAAAUGUAUUAAGAUUGAGGGUUAUGAUUUUAAUCAAGGAGUGAACUAUCCCAAGCUUUUGAAAUCGUUCGUCUCAACCGGUUUCCAAGCAUCUAAUCUUGGUGAUGCUAUCGAUGUUGUAAAUCAAAUGAUUGGUGGCUGGCAAAUGAAAUACCCGAUGAAGAUUGCAGAAAGGAAGAGAAGGAUCCUGUUUAUAGGGAAUCUGUGGGGUGCAAAGUGUUUUUAGGUUUUACCUCGAAUCUUAUAUCUUCUGGUGUUCGUGACACUGUUCGAUAUCUUACUCAACAUCAUAUGAUCUAUUCAAAAAUCAAACUGCUACCAUAAAGAAGGGCACCAAGCAUCUUGUUCUUAUGGAGAUGGCAUUUACAUGCUGCUAUUUGGAUGUGUUCAGAUCAUAAUGUCUUAGACACCUGAUUUCCACAACAUGAAAUGGCUUUCUAUCUUGGCAGCCAUCAUGUCAAUUGCCUCCUCAACCAUUGGAUUGGCUCUCGGCUUUGCUACCGUGAUUGGUGAUCAAUCCCAUAUAUUUCAUUGAUUUUUUAUUACUAUGUACUUGCAGGGAUUCAACUCUAGAAUCGAAGAUGUCAGAGAGGAAAUGUACUUGCUUUUUUUAUCACUGAUUUUUACUUGGUUUGUCCACUUGAUUUGCUUUCUCUCUCUAAUUUUAUUUUUAUUUUAAUUUUCUCUCUCUAGAUUACUUUGAUCUGGUGGUGGAUCUAUUAGUACAUUAGGGAUACAUGUAAUGCGAUUGGAGUGGUAAAAUAGUAUUGUGGUACUGGUUCUGUAUUUUGCCUUAGUGGGCUGUGACAAAUAGCUACAUGUGCUUAGCUGGGAUAGUUGAUCUUGUUUCUUAGAUUAUACUUGGAUGGGUUUUUUCUUUACUUAAUGCAUUGCUGAUAAAAUGAUGUAAGAGUGAGAAUAUAUAGUUCCUACGAUGUUAUUUGAAAUAGCAAAUAUGUUGUUCUGUCCUUUUUCUAUGGGAACCAAGUGGUGAUAGAGCUGUUUAAAGUGGUGUACCUCUAAUUCAUGGCUGUCUGAGUAGUAUUGUCAAUAUUUUUGGCUCUCAUAACUGAAAUGCAGGUUAUUGUUGGCUACCUCCUUGGUGAUUGGGCCAGGAGGUCUAAAUUGUAUCAGUGAAAUGGUCUAGGUGAAGUUAGACUGCCUUGUUUCUUUAUAAAUAUAAUAGAAAUUCUAUGACGUGCUCUGCUUAUAACUUGUCGUGAGUAUUUUUUCCUAUGAUUUACGAAUAUUUAGUUUUUCGUGCUCUUCUUCAGCUUUUGUGGUGGCCUCAAUAUCAUAUUUUAUGUCAAGGUCAUUAAAUCCACAUAAGUAUUUUAAAGACGGCAUGUAGAGAAGGAAAUAUGUAGUUUAUUGUACAACAGUGAACAUAGAACAUAGGAAAAUUGUGGAGGAAAAUAGUCGGAGGAGGUGUUUGUGGGUUCUUUCCUAUCUAUGUCGUCAACAGAUUCAGGAGGUAAAAUAGGAAAGGGAAGGCCUGAUUCAUGCUCUUGUUCUUCUACACCUGUUUUUCUUGGUGGCCUAUUUUUCUAUUUGUUUCUUCUCUGUGUGCCUUGCUGAAUUCUGGAUUUGGCGUGUGUUCUAGAGUCUGUUCAGCUUUGAUUCAUGCCAUGAGUCUGUCUUUUCUAUCUGCUGGGUUGAGUUGCUGUUUCUCUAGCUCUUGUUUUGUCUAUUGUGUGCUGUUGCAGGCUGUGUUCUACUGAGAUGCUGAGCUAGUCAGUGUGUUGGGGUUGUUUGACUGUUCCUGUGCUUGCUCAGAGCUUCUGUUUUUUCUGUCCCUGUUGGUUUGCUAUGGUCUGUCUACUUGCUGGCCUGUUGUGUAGCUGUUCAGUGUUCCUGAGCUUGGUUCUGAUAUGGUGGCAACUGUGCUGGUGUCUUUGCUCUGGUGUAGUUUGUGUUUCUGUGACCCUGGGACUGUUCUUUUCUGCUAUGAUGUUGUUUGCGUUUGGUCUGGUCAGUUUUUUCAGUUGUGGUUUUGCUUAUUUGCUUUGCUCUGAUUCUGUGUUGCUGAGUGCUAGGUUUUAUGGGCCGAUCCUUGAAGCUUUCUACUCAGCUGGUGCUGUCAGACUGCUGUUCUUCAGGGACCUACUGGUGUCUGCUCUGCACUAGUUGGGCUACUAAUUUGGGUGUUGUACAGUAGUGGUGUGGUUUGGUGCUGCUGUUUUGGUGGGCUGCGAGGUUGUAAUAUUAAUUAAUUUUAUUCGGACGAAAAUUGUAAUAUUACAGCCUUUUUAAUGAA
Chenopodium quinoa (quinoa) is the source of this 2876-nucleotide long non-coding RNA. RefSeq lists it as uncharacterized. The transcript has 4 exons. Lineage: Eukaryota; Viridiplantae; Streptophyta; Magnoliopsida; Caryophyllales; Amaranthaceae. The record is from RefSeq and is a predicted model, not a curated record.